UGGGGUCUUACACUACGGCUAAUUUACGCCGCGACACCUCAGAUUGUGCUUGGUCUCGCACUGCAGUCGUCAGAUUCUAUUGUUAAAAAGUGGCGCUGCAACACCUCUCACUGAAGAAAACAUGGUGCUGCAGUGCCUAUAACGAAUUUUCAUUUUUUAAAACAAGCCAAAUUCGGCAAGUCAGGCCAUUUCACCCUUUUCUUUCGACCUUCCUCGACAGCUGAAGCAACCCAACUGUACGCCUCAGUUCCCCAAGCCCUAGCCUUCGAUCGAAUCGCACAUCCCAACCCCAAGUGAACCCUAAUUCAAGUGCGUAUCAAGAAUUGAGAUCAAAAUCAAGUUAGGGUUCUCCACUAAUGGUAAUUGGGGAUUUUAUUCCAUAAGAAACAAAAUUUGAUUAAGUUAUGUUUUGUUUCAUCUGAAGACCUUUUGGGUUUGCACAUUUCUUAUUUGUCUGUGUGGGUGAUUUCCACUAACGAAAAUCUGGCUAGUUCAUACUCCAAAAAUUAAUCAUUGAGUUAGGUUUUCAGAAGUGCAUGCCAGUUGGUUGACAGAUUGCCACAGUAAUUUUCUGCACUUCUUUUGGGUCUUUUAGGCACUUAGUUGCUAAGGUUAGUCGGGCAGACCUUGGUAUCCUACUUGGGAAAUCAUCUGGCUGUAAUCUAGGUCUUCAAAUUUGCCAUUGGUUGGGGGCUUGUUCCUACUUUGCUUAACAGUAAUUUGCAUAAGUUGGGCAAAAAUUGGUUUUGGCAUCCCUGUCGCCCCUUUUGGGUUUUUGGUUGUGACUUGCUUCUGUUCAAGCCAAUUUUUGAAAAUCUGAAUAUGGCUACAAAGAGGCAAAGGCUUAUAGAAUGGGCGGUUCUUCCUCUUCUUCAGGAACACAAAGAUGGUACAGUGAAAAAUUCAUUAGCGAAGAAGCUUAGAAAAGGUAUAAGAAAUCCUUUACCAAAAGGAACUUAGUGCCUAAGCGAGGUUUUCAGCCUGAUCAAACAAAAGAUGGCGAGAUGAUGGCCAUGAUUAAUGAGCGCAAAUGCGUGCAAUUUACCAAAUCUUCUGAGGUGGUUGUCGUCUCUAUGGUCCGCGAGUUUUAUGCAAAUAUUGUAACGCCCGAGAAAAUUGAAUUUUAUGUGAAUUAAAUUUUUAUUUGAUUAUUUGAAUUAAAUAAAUUUAAUUGAUUAUUUA
This 1182-nucleotide long non-coding RNA is filed under the name Panax ginseng (ginseng). RNAcentral describes it as "long non-coding RNA (PGIN_LNC016317)". The record is from RNAcentral. Lineage: Eukaryota; Viridiplantae; Streptophyta; Magnoliopsida; Apiales; Araliaceae.